CCUACGGGAGGCAGCAGUGAGGAAUAUUGGUCAAUGGGCGAGAGUCUGAACCAGCCAAGUCGCGUGAAGGAUGAAGGAUCUAUGGUUUGUAAACUUCUUUUAUACGGGAAUAAAGUGAGAAACGUGUUUUCUUCUGUAUGUACUAUAUGAAUAAGCAUCGGCUAACUCCGUGCCAGCAGCCGCGGUAAUACGGAGGAUGCGAGCGUUAUCCGGAUUUAUUGGGUUUAAAGGGUGCGUAGGUGGUUAAUUAAGUUAGAGGUGAAAGUUUCGGGCUCAACCAGAGAACUGCCGUUGAUACUGGUUGACUAGAGUGUAGAUGAGGUAGGCGGAAUGUGUGGUGUAGCGGUGAAAUGCAUAGAGAUCAUGCAGAACACCGAUUGCGAAGGCAGCUUACUAAUCUAUAACUGACGCUGAGGCACGAAAGCGUGGGGAGCAAACAGGAUUAGAUACCCGAGUAGUC
This 460-nucleotide ribosomal RNA is filed under the name uncultured bacterium. RNAcentral describes it as "partial 16S ribosomal RNA". It matches the Rfam family "Bacterial small subunit ribosomal RNA", at positions 338 to 795 of the family's 1533-position model. The record is from RNAcentral.